This 521-nucleotide ribosomal RNA is filed under the name uncultured archaeon. RNAcentral's name for it is "bacterial SSU rRNA". It matches the Rfam family "Archaeal small subunit ribosomal RNA", at positions 83 to 609 of the family's 1478-position model. The record is from RNAcentral.
GGACGGCUCAGUAACACGUGGACAACUUGCCCUUGGGUCCGGGAUAACCCCGGGAAACUGGGGCUAAUACCGGAUGGGACAUCGCUUGCUGGAAUGCAGGAUGUCCAAAAGCUGAGGCGCCCAAGGAUAGGUCUGCGGCCGAUUAGGUUGUUGUUGAUGUAACGGAUCAACAAGCCUACGAUCGGUACGGGUUGUGAGAGCAAUAGCCCGGAGAUGGGUUCUGAGAAAAGAACCCAGGUCCUACGGGACGCAUCAGGCGCGAAAACUUUACAAUGUGCGAAAGCACGAUAAGGGAACUCUGAGUGCCUCCUAAGGAGGCUGUUCAGGUGUCUAAAAAGCACCUGAAGUAAGGGCUGGGUAAGACCGGUGCCAGCCGCCGCGGUAACACCGGCAGCCCAAGUGGUAGCCACUUUUAUUGGGUCUAAAGCGUCCGUAGCCGGUUGAGUGAGUUCCUUGGGAAAUUUGGCUGCUUAACAGUCAAACUUCCAGGGAAUACUGCUCGACUUGGGACCGGGAGGGGC